RNAcentral lists this ribosomal RNA (253 nucleotides) under uncultured bacterium. Its description in RNAcentral is "partial 16S ribosomal RNA". It matches the Rfam family "Bacterial small subunit ribosomal RNA", at positions 524 to 776 of the family's 1533-position model. The record is from RNAcentral.
UACGGAGGGUGCAAGCGUUAUCCGGAAUCACUGGGUUUAAAGGGUGCGUAGGCGGCUUUGUAAGUCAGGGGUGAAAGCCUGCAGCUUAACUGCAGAACUGCCUUUGAUACUGCAGAGCUUGAAGGAGGUUGAGGUCAGCGGAACGUGACAUGUAGCGGUGAAAUGCAUAGAUAUGUCAUAGAACACCAAUUGCGAAGGCAGCUGGCUGGGCUUGCUUUGACGCUGAGGCACGAAAGCGUGGGGAGCGAACAGG